Molecule: transfer RNA, 72 nt
Filed under: Ovis aries (sheep)
Lineage: Eukaryota; Metazoa; Chordata; Mammalia; Artiodactyla; Bovidae
Rfam family: tRNA
About the family: Transfer RNA (tRNA) molecules are approximately 80 nucleotides in length. Their secondary structure includes four short double-helical elements and three loops (D, anti-codon, and T loops). Further hydrogen bonds mediate the characteristic L-shaped molecular structure. tRNAs have two regions of fundamental functional importance: the anti-codon, which is responsible for specific mRNA codon recognition, and the 3' end, to which the tRNAs corresponding amino acid is attached (by aminoacyl-tRNA synthetases). tRNAs cope with the degeneracy of the genetic code in two manners: having more than one tRNA (with a specific anti-codon) for a particular amino acid; and 'wobble' base-pairing, i.e. permitting non-standard base-pairing at the 3rd anti-codon position.
Source: Rfam by way of RNAcentral
UCCCUGGUGGUCCAGUGGCUAAGACUUUGCGCUCCCAAUGCAAGGGACACAGUUUGAAUGCUGGUCAGGGAA